GAUGAACGCUGGCGGCGUGCCUAAUACAUGCAAGUCGAGCGAACAGAUGAGGAGCUUGCUCCUCUGACGUUAGCGGCGGACGGGUGAGUAACACGUGGAUAACCUACCUAUAAGACUGGGAUAACUUCGGGAACCCGGAGCUAAUACCGGAUAAUAUAUUGAACCGCAUGGUUCAAUAGUGAAAGACGGUUUUGCUGUCACUUAUAGAUGGAUCCGCGCCGCAUUAGCUAGUUGGUAAGGUAACGGCUUACCAAGGCAACGAUGCGUAGCCGACCUGAGAGGGUGAUCGGCCACACUGGAACUGAGACACGGUCCAGACUCCUACGGGAGGCAGCAGUAGGGAAUCUUCCGCAAUGGGCGAAAGCUUGACGGAGCAACGCCGCGUGAGUGAUGAAGGUCUUCGGAUCGUAAAACUCUGUUAUUAGGGAAGAACAAAUGUGUAAGUAACUAUGCACGUCUUGACGGUACCUAAUCAGAAAGCCACGGCUAACUACGUG
RNAcentral lists this ribosomal RNA (497 nucleotides) under uncultured bacterium. Its description in RNAcentral is "partial 16S ribosomal RNA". It matches the Rfam family "Bacterial small subunit ribosomal RNA", at positions 28 to 507 of the family's 1533-position model. The record is from RNAcentral.